This 500-nucleotide ribosomal RNA is filed under the name uncultured bacterium. RNAcentral describes it as "partial 16S ribosomal RNA". It matches the Rfam family "Bacterial small subunit ribosomal RNA", at positions 30 to 523 of the family's 1533-position model. The record is from RNAcentral.
AUUGAACGCUGGCGGCAGGCCUAACACAUGCAAGUCGAGCGGAUGAAGGGAGCUUGCUCCUGGAUUCAGCGGCGGACGGGUGAGUAAUGCCUAGGAAUCUGCCUGGUAGUGGGGGACAACGUUUCGAAAGGAACGCUAAUACCGCAUACGUCCCACGGGAGAAAGCAGGGGACCUUCGGGCCUUGCGCUAUCAGAUGAGCCUAGGUCGGAUUAGCUAGUUGGUGAGGUAAUGGCUCACCAAGGCGACGAUCCGUAACUGGUCUGAGAGGAUGAUCAGUCACAAUGGAACUGAGACACGGUCCAGACUCCUACGGGAGGCAGCAGUGGGGAAUAUUGGACAAUGGGCGAAAGCCUGAUCUAGCCAUGCCGCGUGUGUGAAGAAGGUCUUCGGAUUGUAAAGCACUUUAAGUUGGGAGGAAGGGUUGUAGAUUAAUACUCUGCAAUUUUGACGUUACCGACAGAAUAAGCACCGGCUAACUCUGUGCCAGCCGCCGCGGUAA